AGACUGCAGCGUGUUGUGCGCUCUGCUGAGAAGGUGAUUGGCUGUCACUCUAAAAAGUAAUUAAUGGGAUCUUUAGUCAUUACUUACAUAUAUAUGUUGUUGUGAAAUGAAAAAUCAAGUUCAUAAAUACUGUUAGACUUCCUAAUUAAAAUUUUUAUUUUAUUGAGUUCGGGUGACACAUAAAUGAUGCCUCUUUACUCAAUAUAUAAUCGUGAUUUGUCUGAAUUUAAAAUCUUCUUUUAAUCAAAAAACAAUAUAAUUUUAAGUUCUGUCGAUGUAAAAUACAACUUGAUGACGUGUAAACAGCUCACAGUUCCCUUCUUCUACACAAGCGGACAUAUUCAACAGCACAUGUUCAAGGUUUAUCAAGAGCUGUGUUCAUCGCGAACGCAUGUCUUUAUCCUGUCUUCCUUCUCUCACCCCAACCAAUCACAGCAGAUGGCCCCGCCCCUCCCUGAGCCUGGUUCUGCUGGAGGUUUCUUCCUGUUAAAAGGGAGUUUUUCCUUCCCACUGUCGCCAAAGUGCUGCUCACAUGUCAUUGUUGGAGUUUCUCUUUUGUCUCUUUAUUAUCAUAAGGUUCUUACUCUACAAUAUAAAGUACCCGGAGGCAACUGUUGUUGUUUUUUCUGUAUAAAUAAAAGUGAACUGAGUUGAAUGUAAUUUGGUUGAACAGGAAAUUCACAUCAUGGAUCUGGAGCAGCUGUGUGAUGAUGUCAUGUCAACAUGGACCAAAACCUCUGAGGGAUGUUUCCAGAAACUUUUUAAAUUUGUGCCACAAAUGACUAAAGCAGAAGAGAGCUCAGACUCAGCUUCACUGUCAUUCAGCCAUUUGACAUGAUAUGAAUGAAAAACAGAUUCUCUGUCCAGGACCUGGGUCUGAGCGACCCAGGGUCCAUGAGCAUUUAUGACUCUUGUUAUAUGAUAUGUGUUUGUUUCUGCAUUGUGCUGCUGUUCCUGUGUCUAUGAUGUUGGAGACCUCACCUGCUCAACCGCCUGCCAUAACCACGCCACCAUCACUUUACCUACCUGUUGCUGCUGCAUCACCGUCCAAUCUACCCCCAGUGGCUGCUACACCACCAUCAUUUCCACUGCCUGCAGCUGCCACACCAGCACGGCCUGCGUGUCACAAACCACCUGCAGUGCUUCGCCAUGGGCCAUCGGAGCUCUUACGUGGCUGGACCUACUACAAGGCUGUCAUCAGAUCACUGGCCGGCCACCAGAACUGCUAUGCCACAGCUGCCAGACCUGUGGCAGGCCGCUCGAGCUGUUUUCCUGCCGUCACCGUCCAUCGGGCCAGCUGCCAAAACUGUGGCAGAACUGUGGUUGAUUUUUUCAGUUUUUUGGGGACUGUUUUGACAGCGCUGCUGGACGUGCGGUCGGACUUUGAAACCGUUGGGAUUAGGGGCUCUGUUUGCUAGAGGAUUUUGUUUUUGCACGGAGAGUGCGGAGACUCGGGAGCAGAGUACAGACACUUGGGAGAAGGCGCGACACGGGAGUCGUGGGAGCGCACUGGAGAUUUGUUGUGUGUUACAUUUACUUCACUGUAAAUCAACGCACUGUUUACUGCACAGAGUCCAGCAUUUAGGUCCUUUCUCCCCCACAGUCUGCCACACAGACCGUGACAUUCUCAGGUCUCAGUAUUGCAGCAUGCUACCAAACAACGAGUAAAACAUUACAAAUAACUACAAUUAAUAGAACAAGAAAUUCUCAAAAAUAAGUACUGAAAUAUGCAAAAACAUAAAUAACAAUCACAAAUAUAUAAUAUUUAAAUUUGGUUCUUCUUUAUUUUAAUGACUAUUUACAGAUUUUCACUGGAGGCAUCAAAACUAUGGAUGAACACAUGGAAUUAAACCCUCGGCCUUCUCUCAGCGAGCUUCAUGCUGUAGUCACCUGACAUGGUUUCACUUCACAGGUGUGUUAACUCCAAAGCUGGAAUCCUGGAAUUUCUUGCCUUCUGAAUCUGGUUGGGACUAGAAGUCAGGGUGGCACGCAGUAGUGCUGCACGAUAUUAGGAAACCCUGCGAUGUGCGAUAACUGCGAUCAAUAUUGCGAUAACGAUAUGACUUACGAUAAAAUAAAUAGCAAAACAAACAAAAAACCCCGAC
Long non-coding RNA from Astatotilapia calliptera (eastern happy), 2105 nucleotides. NCBI's taxonomy places the organism in Eukaryota, Metazoa, Chordata, Actinopteri, Cichliformes, Cichlidae. The record is from Ensembl.